This 449-nucleotide ribosomal RNA is filed under the name uncultured bacterium. Its description in RNAcentral is "partial 16S ribosomal RNA". It matches the Rfam family "Bacterial small subunit ribosomal RNA", at positions 29 to 523 of the family's 1533-position model. The record is from RNAcentral.
AAUGAACGCUGGCGGCAGGCCUAACACAUGCAAGUCGAACGAGGCAGCAAUGCCUAGUGGCGGACGGGUGAGUAACGCGUGGGAACGUGCCCCUUGGUACGGAAUAGCCCCGGGAAACUGGGAGUAAUACCGUAUGUGGUCGAGAGACGAAAGAUUUAUCGCCAAGGGAUCGGCCCGCGUUGGAUUAGGUAGUUGGUGGGGUAAUGGCCUACCAAGCCGACGAUCCAUAGCUGGUUUGAGAGGAUGAUCAGCCACACUGGGACUGAGACACGGCCCAGACUCCUACGGGAGGCAGUAGUGGGGAAUCUUAGACAAUGGGGGAAACCCUGAUCUAGCCAUGCCGCGUGAUCGAUGAAGGCCUUAGGGUUGUAAAGAUCUUUCAGUGGGGAAGAUAAUGACGGUACCCACAGAAGAAGCCCCGGCUAACUCCGUGCCAGCCGCCGCGGUAA